RNAcentral lists this ribosomal RNA (496 nucleotides) under uncultured bacterium. RNAcentral's name for it is "bacterial SSU rRNA". It matches the Rfam family "Bacterial small subunit ribosomal RNA", at positions 15 to 507 of the family's 1533-position model. The record is from RNAcentral.
GAUCAUGGCUCAGAUUGAACGCUGGCGGCAUGCCUUACACAUGCAAGUCGAACGGUAACAGGUCUUCGGGAUGCUGACGAGUGGCGAACGGGUGAGUAAUACAUCGGAACGUGCCCGAUCGUGGGGGAUAACGAAGCGAAAGCUUUGCUAAUACCGCAUACGAUCUACGGAUGAAAGCAGGGGACCGCAAGGCCUUGCGCGAACGGAGCGGCCGAUGGCAGAUUAGGUAGUUGGUGGGGUAAAGGCUCACCAAGCCAACGAUCUGUAGCUGGUCUGAGAGGACGACCAGCCACACUGGAACUGAGACACGGUCCAGACUCCUACGGGAGGCAGCAGUGGGGAAUUUUGGACAAUGGACGCAAGUCUGAUCCAGCCAUUCCGCGUGCAGGAUGAAGGCCCUCGGGUUGUAAACUGCUUUUGUACGGAACGAAACGGUCUGCCCUAAUACGGCGGGCUAAUGACGGUACCGUAAGAAUAAGCACCGGCUAACUACGUG